This 73-nucleotide transfer RNA is filed under the name Plasmodium gallinaceum. RNAcentral describes it as "tRNA Isoleucine". It matches the Rfam family "tRNA". Rfam says of the family: Transfer RNA (tRNA) molecules are approximately 80 nucleotides in length. Their secondary structure includes four short double-helical elements and three loops (D, anti-codon, and T loops). The record is from RNAcentral. Lineage: Eukaryota; Apicomplexa; Aconoidasida; Haemosporida; Plasmodiidae. RNAcentral also lists the same sequence under 1 other name.
GAUCCAUUAGCUCAGUGGUUAGAGCGUCGGUCUUAUGAGCCGAAUGUCGUGGGUUCGAUCCCCACAUGGAUCA